GGGUCAGUAGGUUGGUCGUGCCACCGGUACGUACUGGUCUCACUGAUUCCUCCUUCCUGAAGAACCGUAAUGCCAUUAAUUUGGUGUUGCGGGGAAACAGGACUGUUACUUUGAAAAAAUUAGAGUGUUUAAAGCAAGCUAACGCUUGAAUACAUUAGCAUGGAAUAAUGAAAUAGGACGAUCGGUCCUAUUUAGUUGGUUUCUAGGAUUGACGUA
Molecule: ribosomal RNA, 216 nt
Filed under: Glomeromycotina sp.
Lineage: Eukaryota; Fungi; Glomeromycota
Description: partial small subunit ribosomal RNA
Rfam family: Eukaryotic small subunit ribosomal RNA (bases 40-216)
Source: RNAcentral